This is a long non-coding RNA of Choloepus didactylus (southern two-toed sloth), 247 nucleotides long. RefSeq lists it as uncharacterized. NCBI's taxonomy places the organism in Eukaryota, Metazoa, Chordata, Mammalia, Pilosa, Megalonychidae. The record is from RefSeq and is a predicted model, not a curated record. The transcript has 3 exons.
AGGCAAAAACCUGACUACUCCCAGGAGAGCCUGUGCCAGAACGAAGGACCACACCCCAUGGUCACUCCCCGGAGCAGUUGCUAGAAGCCACAGCUUUCACAGAAAGUCACUGUGGCCUGGGGGACAUGGUCAACAGUCAAAGCCAAACAUGAAGGCUGAGGGGAUCUUAUACUACAAGAGGCAGGGCCCUCCAGAAAUGGCUGGACCUCCAGGAAGACUGUGAAGAGUUCCAGGAAGGAGAAUUGAA